Molecule: ribosomal RNA, 459 nt
Filed under: uncultured bacterium
Lineage: Bacteria
Description: partial 16S ribosomal RNA
Rfam family: Bacterial small subunit ribosomal RNA
Source: RNAcentral
CCUACGGGUGGCAGCAGUGAGGAAUAUUGGUCAAUGGACGAGAGUCUGAACCAGCCAAGUAGCGUGAAGGAUGACUGCCCUAUGGGUUGUAAACUUCUUUUAUAUGGGAAUAAAACGUUCCACGUGUGGGAUUUUGUAUGUACCAUAUGAAUAAGGAUCGGCUAACUCCGUUCCAGCAGCCGCGGUAAUACGGAGUAUCCGAGCGUUAUCCGGAUUUAUUGGGUUUAAAGGGAGCGUAGGUGGAUUGUUAAGUCAGUUGUGAAAGUUUGCGGCUCAACCGUAAAAUUGCAGUUGAAACUGGCAGUCUUGAGUACAGUAGAGGUGGGCGGAAUUCGUGGUGUAGCGGUGAAAUGCGUAGAUAUCACGAAGAACUCCGAUUGCGAAGGCAGUUCACUGGACUGCAACUGACACUGAGGCUCGAAAGUGUGGGUAUCAAACAGGAUUAGAUACCCCGUAGUC